This is a long non-coding RNA of Eleginops maclovinus (Patagonian blennie), 2442 nucleotides long. RefSeq lists it as uncharacterized. The transcript is spliced from 3 exons. NCBI's taxonomy places the organism in Eukaryota, Metazoa, Chordata, Actinopteri, Perciformes, Eleginopidae. The record is from RefSeq and is a predicted model, not a curated record.
AGUGCUGCUGGGAGAUAAUGUUUUGCUGUUACAGAUAGUGUCCAAGGGAGAGCCAGAUGAUUUCAUUUUGUACCUAAAUUAAUGAUAUUCCGAGUGCUAAACUGGAUUAUACACUCUACCAUUUAUAGCUGUGUAUAGAACAACUUUACAGACAGCUUUGAUACAAAAAACUCUCCCCUGAGUCGAAACUUCUAACUAAAUCUUUACACUCUUCCAAAGAGUGCUCAGGUCCUUACAUUUUGGUAAAAUAUUAGAAUCUUAUAUGACCAUCACAUACUAUGUCUUCAUUCAUUUUGUAAAGUACUAUAUACAUGGCCAAUUGUUGAUUCCAUUUUGAACAGAAUUGAUCUCACAGUGAUAUAACUUGUGUGGUAGUAUUAAAUGGACAAUUUCCAUUACUUAAUGAUGCAUUGUUUCUACCCACUGCCAGUUUCCUGUACUUACACAUUAUUUAUAUCAAAAUAUGAUUAUCUUUUCAGUUGGUAUUUUGGUAGUAACUUAAACCCCACAUGUAUGGUUUAAGUUGGUAUUAGACCAAUUAAUUCCUGUGAGAUAUCUUUUGCUUUGACUUCAGUAUUUGACCUACAUUGAGUGACAUGUGCACAAACCCUGACUCAACACCUCUAGCAGACUUUCAAUAAGUCCAGUGAGGAAAUUUGCAAUUCAGAUUGAUUCUGCAGAGGUGCUUUCACUCACUGGAGAGCCGACCCCAGCCGCUGACGUAGCAGGGGGCACCGUGGGGCAGGACCACGCCUCGGGCUGGGAGGCAGGCGGGCAUGAUGGUGUCAGAGAAGGUGACGGGGGAAGACAGCUUGAUAAGGGCGAUGUCGUUACUGCCGAAGACAAACAACACACUCACAGUGAAGAAGUAAUGACAACAAAUCGAUGGUUUGCUGCGUCAACAGUGAACUGAUACUCUGCUAACACAUGGCGUCCUGCUGAUUCUGCUCUUCACCAGGACUCCUUAGGUGUUAUUGAGCUGUUUGAGUGUGUGUUACCGGCUGAGCAUGGUGUUGUAAUCCUCGUGACUGAUAAUUGUGGCUGCCCUGCGAGCUAUCGAGCCCUCCUCGCUGGACCGCAGGCUGUGUUUACCCAGCUCCACUCUGUAGUUGUAGCGGUCACUGUGGGAUGGCAGAUGACACGCGGUUCAGACACAAGUAUUGACUUUCCCGCCUGUGUGGACAACACUGUGUUUAAGCCGAUAGUGUACUGCAAAUGUUUGGUAGUCCUGUAGAGGUAAUGCGUGGAGACCAAGCUGUUUUUAAAAGAUAAAAUGGUAAUAUUGUGGUUAUCCUUUUUUAUUAAGAUACUAAUGAAUACUUUACUGUCAAGAAAGACUUCUUGAACUCCUCUAAAUACUGUUCUCUUCUUUCUUUGGUCCAGGCAUGGUGGCCCUGCUGUUUACUGGAAUACUCUGGUUUUCUUGUCAAUUCCAAAACCAACAUCUCUCACAGUACCGAAAAAUGCUUAACUCCUAAUCUCCUGUAGGGCUGAAGAGUUUUACUGGCACAGAUCUUUGGUUCGGCAUAAAUGCUAUUUUUGAACUGGGGAUCCAAAAACACUAGAGUUUAAGUGAAUUAUGAUUAGUAGGGACUGUUCUAAAUUGUAUACAACUAUCACAGGUUAUCAAUUCAACAAAUUAGAAAACUUUAAAAUUAUCAUUUGUAUAUCAAUGACACACUGUGUUACUCAAAUUCUCGAGGAAAACGUGUUAUUUCUGCAAGCCUUCACAAUGAUUGAAGAAUUUAAAAACAAUAAAAUGAAUUGAAGUAAAUGGGAGCUGUGUUCAACAGCAAAACUAUAUCCAAACAUCUCACAGAACACAUGCAAUAUAAACUUUAUUUGUCAGCUGUAUGCUUAAUACUUCCAAACCCAUACAUUUUCACCAAAACUUUGCUAUUUUAAACACUUGUGCAUUUCUCGUACUGUGCACGCUAUUCAUCCCUGCGAGUCUGGGACCAGUCUGAAAGUUUUUCUAACUGUUGAUGUUUUAGCAAAAAUGCAUGUGUUUAGAAAGUGUUAAGACUUGCAUGAGAGUGCACAAGUUGUAUAAAAGUUUGUAAACAGAUGUUUUGAAGUCAUUUUCCUGUUGUCGAACAGGGCCAUCUUUUAUUUCCAUUCAUCAAGACUUUGCUCUAUUUUUGGAUUCUUCGUUUACAGUGGAGGAGAGAAACCAACAUUUUUUUCCUCAAGGAUACAGACUAACAUGGGGGUAAGUUUGACAUACUUGAAGCAGUGUGCAGCAGUGAGGACCCAGUCAGAUGAGAUGAGGGUGCCUCCACAGACGUGCCUCCAGCGCCCACUGCUGUCCGACUGAAGAGAGAUCUGAGCACAGCAGAGAGAAGACAAGGCCAGCUGUGAGGCCUGGCAUCCUCUCCUGCCACCACCCUGGUCAGCACAGGAGGGAAGAUGGGGAGGCCACAUCCGUAGGCUGGGACAAGG